RNAcentral lists this ribosomal RNA (492 nucleotides) under uncultured bacterium. Its description in RNAcentral is "partial 16S ribosomal RNA". It matches the Rfam family "Bacterial small subunit ribosomal RNA", at positions 29 to 507 of the family's 1533-position model. The record is from RNAcentral.
AGUGAACGCUGGCGGUAGGCCUAACACAUGCAAGUCGAACGGCAGCACAGUAAGAGCUUGCUCUUACGGGUGGCGAGUGGCGGACGGGUGGGGAAUACAUCGGAAUCUACUUUUUCGUGGGGGAUAACGUAGGGAAACUUACGCUAAUACCGCAUACGCCCUACGGGUGAAAGCAGGGGAUCUUCGGACCUUGCGCGAUUGAAUGAGCCGAUGUCGGAUUAGCUAGUUGGCGGGGUAAAGGCCCACCAAGGCGACGAUCCGUAGCUGGUCUGAGAGGAUGAUCAGCCACACUGGAACUGAGACACGGUCCAGACUCCUACGGGAGGCAGCAGUGGGGAAUAUUGGACAAUGGGCGCAAGCCUGAUCCAGCCAUACCGCGUGGGUGAAGAAGGCCUUCGGGUUGUAAAGCCCUUUUGUUGGGAAAGAAAAGCAGCAGGUUAAUACCCCGCUGUUCUGACGGUACCCAAAGAAUAAGCACCGGCUAACUUCGUG